RNAcentral lists this ribosomal RNA (115 nucleotides) under Leptotrichiaceae bacterium. The record is from RNAcentral. Lineage: Bacteria; Fusobacteriati; Fusobacteriota; Fusobacteriia; Fusobacteriales; Leptotrichiaceae.
UUUGGUGAUCAUAGCUACAGGGAUACACCCAGUUACAUUUCGAACCUGGAAGUUAAGUCUGUAUACGCCUAAGAUACUUAGCCAGCUGGCUUGGGAAAAUCGGUAGUCGCCAAAC